Molecule: unclassified non-coding RNA, 308 nt
Filed under: rhizosphere metagenome
Description: partial ribosomal RNA internal transcribed spacer region
Source: RNAcentral
ACGUAUCCACGUAUAAACCAUUGUGAACCGUACCCACCUCUGCUAUGAGUAAACCCAAGGUUCGUGUGAGAGAAAGCAAUAUAUUAAAGCAACUUUACUGUGAUUGGUUGUGGCUUUCUCUCACCUCAAUUGUCGUCUCUCCGGAGUCACUUUUGUACCUCCUCUCAUUUCAGAGUGUAUUUCAAUCACUAAUUAUUAACCAUUUUAACCAAUCUUUAUAACUUUUGAACUAACUUAUUUCUUACUCUGCGGAGAAGAAAUUCAUUACGAAACAAAGAACAACUCUUAGCAACGGAUAUCUUGGUUCU